Pelobates cultripes (western spadefoot toad) is the source of this 1014-nucleotide non-coding RNA. Lineage: Eukaryota; Metazoa; Chordata; Amphibia; Anura; Pelobatidae. The record is from the annotation of a GenBank genome assembly.
GUACCACUGUAUGCGGUUUUACUCAGAGCUGGUCUAUGGAUCUAUUGAAUGUGAGUGCCAGCCCAUUGUCUCCAUUGUAUGUCUUCCAGCUAACACCAGACAAUCUGCACUAUUAUUGGUUAUUUUAUGUUUUAUUAAUUUAUUUACAAGCACUUUAAAGUCCAGAAGGUUACCAACCAAGAAUAUCUCAAGUAUACUUUGGACUUUUUGGACUCAGUAUUUGGCGCAACCUGCAUUAUGUUUAGUAUCUUUUCUGUUUUUGCUCUUUGUAAGUGGCUGAGGGUAUCUCUUACAUUCACUGAUAAGCUGCCAGAUAGUGAAAAAUUAAAAUAGCAUGACAGCAGGCAGGAUAUGUGCAGGGUCUUUACUCAUCUAGCACUGUGUGGGUUUGUGCAUAACACGGUAACCUAUAUUCUUAAUUCUCUCCAGUCCUGAUUCAUUUUGAUUUAUCCUGGUGGAGUAAAGGUGAUAAGGCUACAGGACUACAAUGAUUAUGUAUGUCGUCACUGGAGAUGUUUGCAAGGGACCGCAGGGGGAGAUCGGACAGCCACAACAUUCAUAUAAGAUAUUUCCUUAUACUUGCCCCGCAGGCCAAUAGUUGCCAGCCCUCCCCUUACACCAGGGCACUCCAGUCAAAUCAAUUAGAUGGAAUGGUUAUACUGCCUAAACUAAGCAUUAUUUACAUUCUCUGUGGAAAAAUAAACUAUAUAGAACUUACUGGAUGCAACUGUAGUUCAGCAAUGCAAAAAUCAAUGUAAUCAAGUUAAGGUAAAGAUGCAUAAUUGAACAGGGCUCUACAAAAAAGAAUAUAACAUAAUGAAAUUGUUAUUGAUUUGAAUCAAGCCUCCGUUUUCUUCUUCGCUAUGUCUAACUUGAGGUUUUCUAUCUGCAAGUAGAGAUACUGAAUCUGCAAGUACUUAGUCCACUCUUCUGGCGUUGAAGUGCAAUUACUUAUGCUUUCUUGUAUUGCCUGGAUUUUUUCACACUCAUCUCCCUGUGUUGCAGUUACGGGCU